This is a long non-coding RNA of Amblyraja radiata (thorny skate), 402 nucleotides long. RefSeq lists it as uncharacterized. The record is from RefSeq and is a predicted model, not a curated record. NCBI's taxonomy places the organism in Eukaryota, Metazoa, Chordata, Chondrichthyes, Rajiformes, Rajidae. The transcript has 3 exons.
CUCCACUCUCGACGGCUUCUGCUCUUGGCUCCAGGGUCCACUCUCGCCAUCCUCCCUUCUCAUUGACUUUGCCGAAGGAAACACGGCGCCUGGAGCCGUUUGUCAUUCCAUUCUGUGUUAUUUGUUUUCUCUCUGGAGAGGCCGGAGCGGAGUUACGAAUCUGCCUGGUUCAGAGGUGACUGGAUGAAGAGACGGAGAGAGACAGAGAGAGAGAGAAGUAUCUGCGGCCGAGAAGCGACAGAUACUGCCUCACCCGCUGAGUUUCUCCAGCAUUUUUGUCUACCCAGUUAGAUUGAAAGGGUCGGCGAGAAAGAUCGGAGAAAAGGGGAGAUCGAAAGAUAUGGAGGCAGCUGUGAAACAGGAUAGCAAAGACUAAAUUGGUGCGCAGACUGAGCAAAGGUA